AUGGAGAGGAGGGAUUGGACCAACUGUGGGCUUUGCACUAUUUGUUAGAGAGUUAAUGAGACAACACUUCAUCUGUUUUUCAAAUGUCACUACACUAUGAGAGUUUCGAGAUUGAUCAAGGAUUGGCUAGGUUUUGACCCUAUCUAGCCUGGCCAAUGGGCGGGAGUACACUUUGUUAAGGACUGGUGGAACAAUAUGUCGGGACCGAAUACCACAAAUCAGAAGGGGAUGGCCUCUCUCACCAUGCUAGUGAGUUGGAUGAUAUGGAAUGAAUGUAAUGCUAGAGUUUUGAGGAAAAAAUCAACGCCACCAUUCUACAUCAUGAGGCAGCAUGAGGCCAAGCUUUCGGUCAUGGCGGGGCUAAGCACAUGA
Molecule: ribosomal RNA, 372 nt
Filed under: Triticum aestivum (bread wheat)
Lineage: Eukaryota; Viridiplantae; Streptophyta; Magnoliopsida; Poales; Poaceae
Description: partial small subunit ribosomal RNA
Source: RNAcentral